RNAcentral lists this ribosomal RNA (373 nucleotides) under Paraphysomonas imperforata. RNAcentral's name for it is "partial Bacterial small subunit ribosomal RNA". It matches the Rfam family "Bacterial small subunit ribosomal RNA", at positions 369 to 733 of the family's 1533-position model. Lineage: Eukaryota; Chrysophyceae; Chromulinales; Paraphysomonadaceae. The record is from RNAcentral.
CAAUGGGCGCAAGCCUGAUCCAGCCAUGCCGCGUGCGGGAAGAAGGCCUUCGGGUUGUAAACCGCUUUUGUCAGGGAAGAAAAGGUUCUGGCUAAUACCUGGGACUCAUGACGGUACCUGAAGAAUAAGCACCGGCUAACUCCGUGCCAGCAGCCGCGGUAAUACGUAGGGUGCGAGCGUUGUCCGGAAUUACUGGGCGUAAAGAGCUCGUAGGUGGUUUGUCGCGUCGUUUGUGUAAGCCCGCAGCUUAACUGCGGGACUGCAGGCGAUACGGGCAUAACUUGAGUGCUGUAGGGGAGACUGGAAUUCCUGGUGUAGCGGUGGAAUGCGCAGAUAUCAGGAGGAACACCGGUGGCGAAGGCGGAUCUCUGGG